CCUACGGGUGGCAGCAGUGAGGAAUAUUGGUCAAUGGACGAGAGUCUGAACCAGCCAAGUAGCGUGAAGGAUGACUGCCCUAUGGGUUGUAAACUUCUUUUAUAAAGGAAUAAAACGCGGCACGUGUGCCUUUUUGCAUGUACUUUAUGAAUAAGGAUCGGCUAACUCCGUGCCAGCAGCCGCGGUAAUACGGAGGAUCCGAGCGUUAUCCGGAUUUAUUGGGUUUAAAGGGAGCGUAGAUGGGUUGUUAAGUCAGUUGUGAAAGUUUGCGGCUCAACCGUAAAAUUGCAAUUGAAACUGGCGAACUAGAGUGCGGGAGGGGUAAGCGGAAUUCCUAGUGUAGCGGUGAAAUGCGUAGAUAUUAGGAGGAACACCGGUGGCGAAGGCGGCUUACUGGACCGUAACUGACGUUGAGGCUCGAAAGCGUGGGGAGCAAACAGGAUUAGAUACCCUAGUAGUC
Molecule: ribosomal RNA, 460 nt
Filed under: uncultured bacterium
Lineage: Bacteria
Description: partial 16S ribosomal RNA
Rfam family: Bacterial small subunit ribosomal RNA
Source: RNAcentral